Molecule: ribosomal RNA, 253 nt
Filed under: uncultured bacterium
Lineage: Bacteria
Description: partial 16S ribosomal RNA
Rfam family: Bacterial small subunit ribosomal RNA
Source: RNAcentral
UACGUAGGGUGCAAGCGUUGUCCGGAUUUAUUGGGCGUAAAGAGCUCGUAGGCGGUCUGUCGCGUCGGAUGUGAAAACCCAGGGCUCAACCCUGGGCCUGCAUUCGAUACGGGCAGACUAGAGUAUGGCAGGGGUGACUGGAAUUCCUGGUGUAGCGGUGAAAUGCGCAGAUAUCGGGAGGAACACCAGUGGCGAAGGCGGCUCUCUGGACAGGUACUGACGCUGAGACGCGAAAGCGUGGGUAGCAAACAGG